RNAcentral lists this ribosomal RNA (397 nucleotides) under uncultured bacterium. RNAcentral describes it as "partial 16S ribosomal RNA". It matches the Rfam family "Bacterial small subunit ribosomal RNA", at positions 523 to 918 of the family's 1533-position model. The record is from RNAcentral.
AUACGUAGGGGGCGAGCGUUGUCCGGAAUGAUUGGGCGUAAAGGGCGCGUAGGCGGCCUGUUAAGUCUGGAGUGAAAGUCCUGUUUUCAAGAUGGGAAUUGCUUUGGAUACUGAUGGGCUUGAGUGCAGGAGAGGUUAUCGGAAUUCCCGGUGUAGCGGUGAAAUGCGUAGAGAUCGGGAGGAACACCAGUGGCGAAGGCGGGUAACUGGACUGCAACUGACGCUGAGGCGCGAAAGUGUGGGGAGCAAACAGGAUUAGAUACCCUGGUAGUCCACACUGUAAACGAUGAAUGCUAGGUGUAAGAGGUAUUGACCCCUUUUGUGCCGGAGUUAACACAAUAAGCAUUCCGCCUGGGGAGUACGGCCGCAAGGUUGAAACUCAAAUGAAUUGACGGGG